UACGUAGGGGGCAAGCGUUGUCCGGAAUCAUUGGGCGUAAAGCGCGCGUAGGCGGCCCGGUAAGUCCGCUGUAAAAGUCCAGGGCUCAACCCUGGAAAGCCGGUGGAUACUGUCGGGCUAGAGUCCAGAAGAGGCGAGUGGAAUUCAUGGUGUAGCGGUGGAAUGCGCAGAUAUCAGGAGGAACACCGAUGGCGAAGGCAGCUCGCUGGGACGGUACUGACGCUGAGGCGCGAAAGCGUGGGGAGCGAACAGG
This 253-nucleotide ribosomal RNA is filed under the name uncultured bacterium. RNAcentral describes it as "partial 16S ribosomal RNA". It matches the Rfam family "Bacterial small subunit ribosomal RNA", at positions 524 to 776 of the family's 1533-position model. The record is from RNAcentral.